RNAcentral lists this ribosomal RNA (441 nucleotides) under uncultured bacterium. Its description in RNAcentral is "bacterial SSU rRNA". It matches the Rfam family "Bacterial small subunit ribosomal RNA", at positions 338 to 770 of the family's 1533-position model. The record is from RNAcentral.
CCUACGGGAGGCAGCAGUGGGGAAUCUUCCGCAAUGGGCGCAAGCCUGACGGAGUGACGCCGCGUGGGGGACGAAGGCCUUCGGGUCGUAAACCCCUGUCAGAGGGAAAGAAGGGUGGUGCGGUGAACAGCCGCAUCACUUGACGGUACCUUCAGAGGAAGCCCCGGCCAACUCUGUGCCAGCAGCCGCGGUAAGACAGAGGGGGCAAGCGUUGCUCGGAAUCACUGGGCGUAAAGGGCGCGUAGGCGGGACGGCAAGUCGGUCGUGAAAGCCCUCGGCUCAACCGAGGAGAGUCGGCCGAGACUGUCGUUCUUGAGGGAUGCAGAGGAGACUGGAAUUCCCGGUGUAGCGGUGAAAUGUGUAGAGAUCGGGAGGAACACCGGUGGCGAAGGCGGGUCUCUGGGCAUCUCCUGACGCUGAGGCGCGAAAGCGUGGGGAGCA